AUUUUCUCAGCUAACGUGUCUUCUUCUUACCUAUUAAUUUUCUCUGCUAACAUGUCUUCUUCUGAUAAAAUGAAUAUGCAUGUCUUCCUCCUCCUAUGUCUUCCUCCUAAUGCUUAAUUUAUAAUGAUUCACUGCACAUGGAAUUUCACUCUCUUCAGCGUUCUCCAGGGAUGGACUUCGCUGCAUAGUUAUAAGAAAUUGACAGAGACCCUUUUAAGCCCAAAGGCCUUUCCUGAUUUUUCAAUAAAGUGUGAAGAUAGAAAUUUGCAAUUACUACUACUGCAGUCUCAGCGCUACAGUUACCAGCCAUGACAGAAAGAUUGAAUAUCAACGAAAUCGACGAGAACAUAGAAGAAUGGAUUUGUAAAGUUCAAGUGGUAGAUAAAGGUCAUCCCCGAACCACUAGGGAGGGAAACAAGAAAUAUCAAUUGAUGAUAUUACAGGAUGAAGAGGAAACUCAAAUACAAGUUAUCAUGCACGGUACAGAUAUCGCACAUUAUGCAAAUGAGUUUGUUCCUUUUCAAACAUAUUUGCUAUCGGGGGCAUUUGUCUCCGAGUCGAUCAAGGCGUGUGGAAUUUCUCUUCAUCAAUUCAGCUGGACAAUUGAUAAGGGCAUAGUUUUUGAACCAAUAGAUAAAGUCAUACCCCCUGAACCACCAUUGCUGCCACCAACGCUGCUAAAAAUUACAUCGUUUGACAGUUUCGAUUAUCAAGUUAUAGGCUUUGAAUUCGACAUUCUUGCCCUCGUGAUAAAUGGUAGUCCUCCAUCAUAUGCCUCAAACCUUGCCCUCGUGAUAAAUGGUAGUCCUCCAUCAUAUGCCUCAAACGGGAAUAGAAUUCAAGAAUUCAUCAUCAACAACUAUGAGGGCAAGUAUUCCACGUGCAAGCUCAAUUGUUAAUAUCCAAUGAAACUCAAAAAUUUUUUGUCUUAGUCUGCUUUGACUGCAAGCAAGUAUUUCCAAGGAUUUGGACACAGAGAACAUUCUAUUGUAUAACUUGCCGUCGACAAACAAAACUCACACCAAGAUGCCAGUUUGAAGUAACCAUCAAAGAUGAUACUGGUUCAACAACAGCCAUGAUUUCAGAUAAAAUUGGAGAAGAACUAUUGUCUCUAACUGUAGCAGAAAUUCAUGACAUAUGUUGCAUCAAGAAACAACUGUUGUCACUCGUAUCCAUGCAACACAUACUGCUAGGUAAGACAUUCACCGUCCAAAUAAAAAAGUUGUUUGCCAAAAACAAGGAUGCAUCUUCAGCAAAACUGUUUAGCAUGUCAAUCACCGAGAAAGAUAUUGCUAGCAAUCUGCCACUGCCCAUUAACACACCAACAACUCCAGAAAGCAGUAAACGCAAGAUGAAGCAAAUCAUGAUAAAAGAAGACUAAAAGCAACAAGAAAGAGGUGAGAACGAUGAUGACGCAAUUAAUGAGAGUGAAGUAACUAAAAUUGUUGCUAGCAAAUUUGGUGGACCUCACAUAGCAAAAUAACAUGCUUUGGAUACCAGCAAUUAUCCAACACCAAGAGCACGAUGAUCAAAUUUGAGAUACUUGAUUGUACCUUACACUUUUUAAAAUUACAAGUUUUUUUUUGAAACUUUUUUGACGAUAUUUUUGUGUUUGAUGCAAUUUUGAGUAUUUGAUGAUGAUAUCCAUUGUUUUAUUCAAUUGGAUUCACCACUGUAAAGAUAAAUUAUACAUUGAGUA
Non-coding RNA from Solanum lycopersicum (tomato), 1699 nucleotides. NCBI's taxonomy places the organism in Eukaryota, Viridiplantae, Streptophyta, Magnoliopsida, Solanales, Solanaceae. The record is from RefSeq and is a predicted model, not a curated record.